UCUAAUAUGGCAGAUUAGUGCAAUGAAUUUAAGAUUCAUAUAUAAAAUAAAUUAUUUUUAUUAGAA
RNAcentral lists this transfer RNA (66 nucleotides) under Cantharis plagiata. RNAcentral describes it as "tRNA-Leu". The record is from RNAcentral. Lineage: Eukaryota; Metazoa; Arthropoda; Insecta; Coleoptera; Cantharidae. RNAcentral also lists the same sequence under 1 other name.